UGGGGAAUUUUGGACAAUGGGGGAAACCCUGAUCAAGCCAUCCCGCGUGUGCGAUGAAGGCCUUCGGGUUGUAAAGCACUUUUGGCAGGAAAGAAACGUCAUGGGUUAAUACCCCGUGAAACUGACGGUACCUGCAGAAUAAGCACCGGCUAACUACGUGCCAGCAGCCGCGGUAAUACGUAGGGUGCAAGCGUUAAUCGGAAUUACUGGGCGUAAAGCGUGCGCAGGCGGUUCGGAAAGAAAGAUGUGAAAUCCCAGAGCUCAACUUUGGAACUGCAUUUUUAACUACCGGGCUAGAGUGUGUCAGAGGGAGGUGGAAUUCCGCGUGUAGCAGUGAAAUGCGUAGAUAUGCGGAGGAACACCGAUGGCGAAGGCAGCCUCCUGGGAUAACACUGACGCUCAUGCACGAAAGCGUGGGGAGCAAACAGG
RNAcentral lists this ribosomal RNA (429 nucleotides) under Acidobacteriota bacterium. RNAcentral's name for it is "Acidobacteria bacterium partial 16S ribosomal RNA". It matches the Rfam family "Bacterial small subunit ribosomal RNA", at positions 355 to 776 of the family's 1533-position model. The record is from RNAcentral. Lineage: Bacteria; Pseudomonadati; Acidobacteriota.